This 845-nucleotide ribosomal RNA is filed under the name uncultured Bacillota bacterium. RNAcentral's name for it is "bacterial SSU rRNA". It matches the Rfam family "Bacterial small subunit ribosomal RNA", at positions 55 to 904 of the family's 1533-position model. The record is from RNAcentral. Lineage: Bacteria; Bacillati; Bacillota.
AUGCAAGUCGAACGAACUUAAUCUUUUAGUUUACUAUUAGAAGCGGUUAGUGGCGGACUGGUGAGUAACGCGUAAGCAAUCUGCCUAUCAGAGGGGAACAACAGUGAGAAAUCACUGCUAAUACCGCAUAUGCUGUGAGUACGGCAUCGUACAAACAGGAAAGGAGCAAUCCGCUGAUAGAUGAGCUUGCGUCUGAUUAACUUGUUGGUGAGGUAACGGCCCACCAAGGUGAUGAUCAGUAGCCGGACUGAGAGGUUAAACGGCCACAUUGGGACUGAGAUACGGCCCAGACUCCUACGGGAGGCAGCAGUCGGGAAUAUUGCGCAAUGGAGGAAACUCUGACGCAGUGACGCCGCGUGCAGGAUGAAGGUUUUCGGAUUGUAAACUGCUUUAGAUAGGGAAGAAAAAAAUGACGGUACCUAUAGAAUAAGCUCCGGCUAACUACGUGCCAGCAGCCGCGGUAAUACGUAGGGAGCAAGCGUUAUCCGGAUUUAUUGGGUGUAAAGGGUGCGUAGACGGACAUGCAAGUUGGCUGUGAAAUCCCGAGGCUCAACCUCGGAACUGCAACCAAAACUACAUAUCUUGAGUACUGGAGGGGAAAGCGGAAUUCCUAGUGUAGCGGUGAAAUGCGUAGAUAUUAGGAAGAACACCGGUGGCGAAGGCGGCUUUCUGGACAGCAACUGACGUUGAGGCACGAAAGUGUGGGUAGCAAACAGGAUUAGAUACCCUGGUAGUCCACACUGUAAACGAUGGAUACUAGAUGUUGGUGAUGAUGAAUCAUCAGUGUCGUCGCAAACGCAAUAAGUAUCCCACCUGAAUAGUCCGACCGCAAGGUUGAAACUCAA